AGAGUUUGAUCAUGGCUCAGAUUGAACGUCUCGGCGGCAUGCCUAACACAUAGCAAGUCGAACGGUAACAGGCCUUCGGGCGCUGACGAGUGGCGGACGGGUGAGUAAUACGUAUUGAUUCGCCCAGUAGCGGGGGACAACUUAGGGAAACUUAAGCUAAUACCGCAUACGCCCUACGGGGGAAAGCAGGGGAUCUUCGGACCUUGCACUAUUGGAUGAGCCUACGUCGGAUUAGCUUGUUGGUGAGGUAACGGCUCACCAAGGCGACGAUCCGUAGCUGGUCUGAGAGGACGAUCAGCCACACUGGGACUGAGACACGGCCCAGACUCCUACGGGAGGCAGCAGUGGGGAAUAUUGGACAAUGGGGGCAACCCUGAUCCAGCAAUGCCGCGUGUGUGAAGAAGGCCUGCGGGUUGUAAAGCACUUUCGGUAGGGACGAAAAGCUGAGGGCUAAUAUCCUUCAGUCUUGACUUAACCUAAAGAGAAGCACCGGCUACUCCG
Molecule: ribosomal RNA, 501 nt
Filed under: uncultured bacterium
Lineage: Bacteria
Description: bacterial SSU rRNA
Rfam family: Bacterial small subunit ribosomal RNA
Source: RNAcentral